AGAGUUUGAUCCUGGCUCAGAACGAACGCUGGCGGCGUGCCUAACACAUGCAAGUCGAACGUGAAAGGGGUAGCAAUACCCCAAGUAAAGUGGCGCACGGGUGAGUAAUGCAUGGGUAACCUGCCUUGAAGGCUGGGAUAACCCUCCGAAAGGGGGGCUAAUACCGGAUAAUAAAGAGGGUUGAAAGAUUUCUCUUUUAAAGGAUCCCCGCAAGGGGGAGUCGCUUCAAGAUGGGCCCAUGUCCCAUUAGCUAGUUGGUAGGGUAACGGCCUACCAAGGCUUUGAUGGGUAGCCGGUCUGAGAGGAUGAUCGGCCACACUGGCACUGAAACACGGGCCAGACUCCUACGGGAGGCAGCAGUGAGGAGUUUUGCGCAAUGGGCGAAAGCCUGACGCAGCAACGCCGCGUGAGGGAAGAAGGCCUUCGGGUUGUAAACCUCUUUCGACUGGAAAGAAGUCCCCUGCAAAGGGGGUUGACGGUACCAGGAGAAGAAGCCACGGCUAACUCUGUGCCAGCAGCCGCGGUAAGACAGAGGUGGCGAGCGUUGUUCGGAAUUACUGGGCGUAAAGGGUGUGUAGGUGGUUGGAUAAGUCAGAGGUGAAAGCCCAUAGCUUAACUAUGGAAGUGCCUUUGAUACUGUUUGGCUAGAGUGCAGGAGAGGAGGGUGGAAUUCCCGGUGUAGAGGUGAAAUUCGUAGAUAUCGGGAGGAACAUCAGCGGCGAAGGCGGCCCUCUGGACUGCAACUGACACUGAAACACGAAAGCGUGGGGAGCAAACAGGAUUAGAUACCCUGGUAGUCC
Molecule: ribosomal RNA, 800 nt
Filed under: uncultured bacterium
Lineage: Bacteria
Description: bacterial SSU rRNA
Rfam family: Bacterial small subunit ribosomal RNA
Source: RNAcentral